UACGUAGGGGGCAAGCGUUGUCCGGAAUCAUUGGGCGUAAAGAGCGUGUAGGCGGCCCGGUAAGUCCGCUGUGAAAGUCCAGGGCUCAACCCUGGGAUGCCGGUGGAUACUGUCGGGCUCGAGUCCGGAAGAGGAGUGUGGAAUUCCUGGUGUAGCGGUGAAAUGCGCAGAUAUCAGGAGGAACACCAAUGGCGAAGGCAGCACUGGGACGUGACUGACGCUGAGACGCGAAAGCGUGGGGAGCAAACAGG
Molecule: ribosomal RNA, 251 nt
Filed under: uncultured bacterium
Lineage: Bacteria
Description: partial 16S ribosomal RNA
Rfam family: Bacterial small subunit ribosomal RNA
Source: RNAcentral